CCUAACACAUGCAAGUCGAGCGGAAACGAGUUAUCUGAACCUUCGGGGGACGAUAACGGCGUCGAGCGGCGGACGGGUGAGUAAUGCCUAGGAAAUUGCCCUGAUGUGGGGGAUAACCAUUGGAAACGAUGGCUAAUACCGCAUAAUGCCUACGGGCCAAAGAGGGGGACCUUCGGGCCUCUCGCGUCAGGAUAUGCCUAGGUGGGAUUAGCUAGUUGGUGAGGUAAUGGCUCACCAAGGCGACGAUCCCUAGCUGGUCUGAGAGGAUGAUCAGCCACACUGGAACUGAGACACGGUCCAGACUCCUACGGGAGGCAGCAGUGGGGAAUAUUGCACAAUGGGCGCAAGCCUGAUGCAGCCAUGCCGCGUGUGUGAAGAAGGCCUUCGGGUUGUAAAGCACUUUCAGUCGUGAGGAAGGUGGUGUAGUUAAUAGCUGCAUUAUUUGACGUUAGCGACAGAAGAAGCACCGGCUAACUCCGUGCCAGCAGCCGCGGUAAUACGGAGGGUGCGAGCGUUAAUCGGAAUUACUGGGCGUAAAGCGCAUGCAGGUGGUUUGUUAAGUCAGAUGUGAAAGCCCGGGGCUCAACCUCGGAAUAGCAUUUGAAACUGGCAGACUAGAGUACUGUAGAGGGGGGUAGAAUUUCAGGUGUAGCGGUGAAAUGCGUAGAGAUCUGAAGGAAUACCGGUGGCGAAGGCGGCCCCCUGGACAGAUACUGACACUCAGAUGCGAAAGCGUGGGGAGCAAACAGGAUUAGAUACCCUGGUAGUCCACGCCGUAAACGAUGUCUACUUGGAGGUUGUGGCCUUGAGCCGUGGCUUUCGGAGCUAACGCGUUAAGUAGACCGCCUGGGGAGUACGGUCGCAAGAUUAAAACUCAAAUGAAUUGACGGGGGCCCGCACAAGCGGUGGAGCAUGUGGUUUAAUUCGAUGCAACGCGAAGAACCUUACCUACUCUUGACAUCCAGAGAACUUUCCAGAGAUGGAUUGGUGCCUUCGGGAACUCUGAGACAGGUGCUGCAUGGCUGUCGUCAGCUCGUGUUGUGAAAUGUUGGGUUAAGUCCCGCAACGAGCGCAACCCUUAUCCUUGUUUGCCAGCGAGUAAUGUCGGGAACUCCAGGGAGACUGCCGGUGAUAAACCGGAGGAAGGUGGGGACGACGUCAAGUCAUCAUGGCCCUUACGAGUAGGGCUACACACGUGCUACAAUGGCGCAUACAGAGGGCAGCAAGCUAGCGAUAGUGAGCGAAUCCCAAAAAGUGCGUCGUAGUCCGGAUUGGAGUCUGCAACUCGACUCCAUGAAGUCGGAAUCGCUAGUAAUCGUGGAUCAGAAUGCCACGGUGAAUACGUUCCCGGGCCUUGUACACACCGCCCGUCACACCAUGGGAGUGGGCUGCAAAAGAAGUAGGUAGUUUAACCUUCGGGAGGACGCUUACCA
RNAcentral lists this ribosomal RNA (1433 nucleotides) under Vibrio harveyi. RNAcentral's name for it is "bacterial SSU rRNA". It matches the Rfam family "Bacterial small subunit ribosomal RNA". Lineage: Bacteria; Pseudomonadati; Pseudomonadota; Gammaproteobacteria; Vibrionales; Vibrionaceae. The record is from RNAcentral.